Molecule: non-coding RNA, 24 nt
Filed under: Arabidopsis thaliana (thale cress)
Lineage: Eukaryota; Viridiplantae; Streptophyta; Magnoliopsida; Brassicales; Brassicaceae
Source: RNAcentral
ACCCAGAUGGGUUUUUGAUUUAGU